RNAcentral lists this ribosomal RNA (253 nucleotides) under uncultured bacterium. RNAcentral's name for it is "partial 16S ribosomal RNA". It matches the Rfam family "Bacterial small subunit ribosomal RNA", at positions 524 to 776 of the family's 1533-position model. The record is from RNAcentral.
UACGUAGGGUGCAAGCGUUGUCCGGAAUUAUUGGGCGUAAAGAGCUCGUAGGCGGCCUGUUGCGUCCGCUGUGAAAUCCCGGGGCUCAACCCCGGGCCUGCAGUGGAUACGGGCUGGCUAGAGGCAGGCAGGGGAGAACGGAAUUCCAGGUGUAGCGGUGAAAUGCGUAGAUAUCUGGAGGAACACCGGUGGCGAAGGCGGCAUCCUGGACCGACACUGACGCUGAGGAGCGAAAGCCAGGGGAGCAAACGGG